UGGGGAAUUUUGGACAAUGGGCGCAAGCCUGAUCCAGCCAUGCCGCGUGCGGGAAGAAGGCCUUCGGGUUGUAAACCGCUUUUGUCAGGGAAGAAAUCUUCUGAGUUAAUACCUCGGGAGGAUGACGGUACCUGAAGAAUAAGCACCGGCUAACUACGUGCCAGCAGCCGCGGUAAUACGUAGGGUGCAAGCGUUAAUCGGAAUUACUGGGCGUAAAGCGUGCGCAGGCGGUUUUGUAAGACAGAGGUGAAAUCCCCGGGCUCAACCUGGGAACUGCCUUUGUGACUGCAAGGCUUGAGUGCGGCAGAGGGGGGAUGGAAUUCCGCGUGUAGCAGUGAAAUGCGUAGAUAUGCGGAGGAACACCGAUGGCGAAGGCAAUCCCCUGGGCCUGCACUGACGCUCAUGCACGAAAGCGUGGGGAGCAAACAGGAUUAGAUCCCUGGUAGUCCACGCCCUAAAACCGAUGUCAACUGGUUGUUGGGAAGGUUCCUUCUCAGUAACGUAGCUAACGCGUGAAGUUGACCGCCUGGGGAGUACGGCCGCAAGGUUGAAAC
Molecule: ribosomal RNA, 554 nt
Filed under: uncultured bacterium
Lineage: Bacteria
Description: partial 16S ribosomal RNA
Rfam family: Bacterial small subunit ribosomal RNA
Source: RNAcentral